This 63-nucleotide microRNA precursor is filed under the name Centruroides sculpturatus (bark scorpion). RNAcentral describes it as "Csc-Mir-96-P3x_pre stem-loop". Lineage: Eukaryota; Metazoa; Arthropoda; Arachnida; Scorpiones; Buthidae. The record is from RNAcentral.
AAUGGCACUGGAAGAAUUCACGGCGAGUAAUACUUGAUGCCGUGAUUUCUCUAGUGCUGUAGA